Molecule: ribosomal RNA, 385 nt
Filed under: Gonatodes caudiscutatus (shieldhead gecko)
Lineage: Eukaryota; Metazoa; Chordata; Lepidosauria; Squamata; Sphaerodactylidae
Description: partial large subunit ribosomal RNA
Source: RNAcentral
GCUNGCGAAUGRGGRGMMACCCGKRUGUCUUGUUCGCWCAURAAGAUCUUAARUACAAAAGCUGAAAUAUUCCCAUAAGACGAGAAGACCCUGUGGAGCUUAAGCUAAAACACUACUAUUAUAUAGUGCCUCCCUUUAGUUGGGGCGACUACGGAACAAAACACAACUUCCCUGCCACACAAUUAACCCCGCAACGACACACAUGUCACUGCACCCCUACCACGACCCAGUACUACUGACUAACGAACCAAGUUACCCCAGGGAUAACAGCGCCAUCCUCUUCUAGAGCCCCUAUCGCCAAGAGGGUUUACGACCUCGAUGUUGGAUCAGGACCUCCUGGUGGUGCAGCCGCUACCAAGGGUUCGUUUGUUCAACGAUUAAUGUC